This 253-nucleotide ribosomal RNA is filed under the name uncultured bacterium. RNAcentral describes it as "partial 16S ribosomal RNA". It matches the Rfam family "Bacterial small subunit ribosomal RNA", at positions 524 to 776 of the family's 1533-position model. The record is from RNAcentral.
UACGUAGGGUGCGAGCGUUAAUCGGAAUUACUGGGCGUAAAGCGUGCGCAGGCGGUUCGUUGUGUCGGUGGUGAAAGCCCCGGGCUUAACCUGGGAAUGGCCGUCGAAACUGGCGAACUGGAGUGUGGCAGAGGGGGGUGGAAUUCCACGUGUAGCGGUGAAAUGCGUAGAGAUGUGGAGGAACACCAAUGGCGAAGGCAGCCUUCUGGGCCAACACUGACGCUCAUGCACGAAAGCGUGGGGAGCAAACAGG